ACUAUCAUUAACUGAAUCCAUAGGUUAAUGAGGCGAACCGGGGGAACUGAAACAUCUAAGUACCCCGAGGAAAAGAAAUCAACCGAGAUUCCCCCAGUAGCGGCGAGCGAACGGGGAGGAGCCCAGAGCCUGAAUCAGUGUGUGUGUUAGUGGAAGCGUCUGGAAAGGCGCGCGAUACAGGGUGACAGCCCCGUACACAAAAAUGCACAUACUGUGAGCUCGAUGAGUAGGGCGGGACACGUGGUAUCCUGUCUGAAUAUGGGGGGACCAUCCUCCAAGGCUAAAUACUCCUGACUGACCGAUAGUGAACCAGUACCGUGAGGGAAAGGCGAAAAGAACCCCGGCGAGGGGAGUGAAAAAGAACCUGAAACCGUGUACGUACAAGCAGUGGGAGCCUCUUAAUGGGGUGACUGCGUACCUUUUGUAUAAUGGGUCAGCGACUUAUAUUCUGUAGCAAGGUUAACCGAAUAGGGGAGCCGAAGGGAAACCGAGUCUUAACUGGGCGUUAAGUUGCAGGGUAUAGACCCGAAACCCGGUGAUCUAGCCAUGGGCAGGUUGAAGGUUGGGUAACACUAACUGGAGGACCGAACCGACUAAUGUUGAAAAAUUAGCGGAUGACUUGUGGCUGGGGGUGAAAGGCCAAUCAAACCGGGAGAUAGCUGGUUCUCCCCGAAAGCUAUUUAGGUAGCGCCUCGUGAAUUCAUCUCCGGGGGUAGAGCACUGUUUCGGCAAGGGGGUCAUCCCGACUUACCAACCCGAUGCAAACUGCGAAUACCGGAGAAUGUUAUCACGGGAGACACACGGCGGGUGCUAACGUCCGUCGUGAAGAGGGAAACAACCCAGACCGCCAGCUAAGGUCCCAAAGUCAUGGUUAAGUGGGAAACGAUGUGGGAAGGCCCAGACAGCCAGGAUGUUGGCUUAGAAGCAGCCAUCAUUUAAAGAAAGCGUAAUAGCUCACUGGUCGAGUCGGCCUGCGCGGAAGAUGUAACGGGGCUAAACCAUGCACCGAAGCUGCGGCAGCGACACUAUGUNNNNNNNNNNGCUCACUGGUCGAGUCGGCCUGCGCGGAAGAUGUAACGGGGCUAAACCAUGCACCGAAGCUGCGGCAGCGACGCUUAUGCGUUGUUGGGUAGGGGAGCGUUCUGUAAGCCUGUGAAGGUGGCCUGUGAGGGUUGCUGGAGGUAUCAGAAGUGCGAAUGCUGACAUAAGUAACGAUAAAGCGGGUGAAAAGCCCGCUCGCCGGAAGACCAAGGGUUCCUGUCCAACGUUAAUCGGGGCAGGGUGAGUCGACCCCUAAGGCGAGGCCGAAAGGCGUAGUCGAUGGGAAACAGGUUAAUAUUCCUGUACUUGGUGUUACUGCGAAGGGGGGACGGAGAAGGCUAUGUUGGCCGGGCGACGGUUGUCCCGGUUUAAGCGUGUAGGCUGGUUUUCCAGGCAAAUCCGGAAAACCAAGGCUGAGGCGUGAUGACGAGGCACUACGGUGCUGAAGCGACAAAUGCCCUGCUUCCAGGAAAAGCCUCUAAGCAUCAGGUAACAUCAAAUCGUACCCCAAACCGACACAGGUGGUCAGGUAGAGAAUACCAAGGCGCUUGAGAGAACUCGGGUGAAGGAACUAGGCAAAAUGGUGCCGUAACUUCGGGAGAAGGCACGCUGAUAUGUAGGUGAAGCGACUUGCUCGUGGAGCUGAAAUCAGUCGAAGAUACCAGCUGGCUGCAACUGUUUAUUAAAAACACAGCACUGUGCAAACACGAAAGUGGACGUAUACGGUGUGACGCCUGCCCGGUGCCGGAAGGUUAAUUGAUGGGGUCAGCGGUAACGCGAAGCUCUUGAUCGAAGCCCCGGUAAACGGCGGCCGUAACUAUAACGGUCCUAAGGUAGCGAAAUUCCUUGUCGGGUAAGUUCCGACCUGCACGAAUGGCGUAAUGAUGGCCAGGCUGUCUCCACCCGAGACUCAGUGAAAUUGAACUCGCUGUGAAGAUGCAGUGUACCCGCGGCAAGACGGAAAGACCCCGUGAACCUUUACUAUAGCUUGACACUGAACAUUGAGCCUUGAUGUGUAGGAUAGGUGGGAGGCUUUGAAGUGUGGACGCCAGUCUGCAUGGAGCCG
RNAcentral lists this ribosomal RNA (2107 nucleotides) under Escherichia coli. RNAcentral describes it as "bacterial LSU rRNA". It matches the Rfam family "Bacterial large subunit ribosomal RNA", at positions 147 to 2188 of the family's 2925-position model. The record is from RNAcentral. Lineage: Bacteria; Pseudomonadati; Pseudomonadota; Gammaproteobacteria; Enterobacterales; Enterobacteriaceae.